Hibiscus syriacus is the source of this 1307-nucleotide long non-coding RNA. RefSeq lists it as uncharacterized. The transcript is spliced from 2 exons. The record is from RefSeq and is a predicted model, not a curated record. Lineage: Eukaryota; Viridiplantae; Streptophyta; Magnoliopsida; Malvales; Malvaceae.
UCAUCCGUUUCUCUCUUCUCCCUUCCUCCAUCUUUUGGACGCUUAUUCCAAAGGGCCAACAAAACCAUGAUGACCAUGCUCCGAUGAAGCUCAUACCACCCCUAGCCAGCACACACGAUGGUCACAAAGGCUGAGACUAAACCAAACUGAACUUUUUUUUAAGCUCUCUACUCCUUUGACCGAACCUUUAGAGGACCCUAACCAAAUCACGAAGCCGCCACCUACACUGCCGCAUAUCGGACUAUAUCGGCACCGAUCCAUGCUCCGACCACCAUUAACAACCACCAGGGACAUCAAAAACCAACCCAAUCGACCCAAACGCUCCACUUCCCUCUCUAAACCUCUUUCUAACACUAACAAAAACUUGAGACCCCUCCGGUGAACACCCUCGACGGUUGAGCAAACCCAAACGACCCUAAACUCAAUCCCGGGCUCCUUACUCUGGUGACGAAACCAUAUCAAAUGACACCAUUCUAACUUCGACGAUGGAACCCGAACGGUGACGAGAUGAAGUCGACAAGGCUCCACCGACGUUUGCACAACCCAAGUAAUUCAACCCCAAAUCCCUUUUCUUUUUUAGUUUCAAAAUAAUAAUAGCACACACAAAAAAAAAAAAUUGGACAAAAAAAGAAACCGAAGAAGAAUAUCUCAAAAAAAUGUGUAGUGCUAUGCUUUCUGUGUUUUUGAAUUAUGAGAUUACACUCUCGUUUUUCUUUUGUAUCGAUUUACUCUUUCUAAUGUUUUUUUUUCUACUGCUUUGUGUUACUGAAAAAAAGGAGAAUCCUUGUGUAGCUAAAAACUGCUCUCAAAUCUAUUCUCUUUGUUUACAUGAAUCUUUAUUUCGAAAAGGAAGCCCCUUACAAAAUCCCCUUUUGGGCCCCUUUAUACUUUGUUUUUUACCCGAGAGCGAGAAAUCAAAUUUGUUACAUUUUUUCUCUUUCCUUUCCUCUUUCUGGUUUUCCUCUUUACAUGAUUGAUUCCGUGAGCUGGAGGUUUGUUGGUGUCAGUUUGUUACCAUCUACUGCUGAGAGGAUGAGCCCAAUUGAUAGUGCACAACUGGCGUGAAAGAUAGGUGCCAGCUCGGGGAACUUCUGGAAUGCUAGUGACGAGGCUUGGUUGUUGCUGGGAUUGCUCACGUGGAAGAUAGGGGUAUCUCUACUAAGAUUUCACAACCCUGAUUUUGGGUUUGUUGUUAGGUUUAGUAAUGGGUCCAAACCGGGUAUGGGUCAUUUUGUUUGGGACAAAUGGAUUGGGUUUAAAUUUGAAUUUGAACAUUUAUUUGAGUUUUAAAAAUGGGGUGUUAUGUA